UACGAAGGGGGCUAGCGUUGCUCGGAAUUACUGGGCGUAAAGCGCACGUAGGCGGUCUUUUAAGUCGGGGGUGAAAUCCUGGAGCUCAACUCCAGAACUGCCUUCGAUACUGGAAGACUCGAGUCCGGGAGAGGUGAGUGGAACUGCGAGUGUAGAGGUGAAAUUCGUAGAUAUUCGCAAGAACACCAGUGGCGAAGGCGGCUCACUGGCCCGAUACUGACGCUGAGGCGCGACAGCGUGGGGAGCAAACAGG
RNAcentral lists this ribosomal RNA (253 nucleotides) under uncultured bacterium. Its description in RNAcentral is "partial 16S ribosomal RNA". It matches the Rfam family "Bacterial small subunit ribosomal RNA", at positions 524 to 776 of the family's 1533-position model. The record is from RNAcentral.